Molecule: long non-coding RNA, 1024 nt
Filed under: Homo sapiens (human)
Lineage: Eukaryota; Metazoa; Chordata; Mammalia; Primates; Hominidae
Description: HSALNT0016459
Source: RNAcentral
AACCCUGUGCUCUCUGAAACAUGUGCUGUGUCCACUCAGGGUUAAAUGGAUUAGGGGCGGUGCAAGAUGUGCUUUGUUAAACAGAUUCUUGAAGGCAGCAUGCUCGUUAAGAGUCAUCACCACUCCCUAAUCUCAAGUACCCAGGGACACAAACACUGCAGAAGGCCUCAGGGUCCUCUGCCUAGGAAAACCAGAGACCUUUGUUCACUUGUUUAUCUGCUGACCUUCCCUCCACUAUUGUCCUAUGACCCUGCCAAAUCCCCCUCUGCGAGAAACACCCAAGAAUGAUCAAUAAAAAUAAAAUAAAUAACAUUAAAAAAAAAGAAUUGUAGAAAUUAAGAAAAAUCAACAGGAUGGAGAAGAAGCCAGGUAGGAGAAAAGCCAAGAGAUUACAGUAAUGUGGAAGCCACGUGAAGAAAAUAUUUCAGGGAGUAGAGAAUGACUAUGUCUAAUUCUGCAGGUUCCCUGCUCAGAUGGAGAGUUAAACGUAAUAGUAAGGCCAGGUACAGUGGCAUAAACCUGUAGUCUCAGCUACUUGGGAGGAUCCCUUGAGCCCAGGAGUUCAAGACCAGCCUGGCAAGACAUAGCAAGAUCCUAGCUCUUUAAAAAAAAAUAGUAAUUCCCCUUCCUCAAAAUUAUAUUAAUAAGGCUACUUCAUCUGGACAUUCAUCAGUCUCAAGGUAUGGUUCAUCUGGAGACAGAAUCAUUCCUGCACUUGGUACUUUUGGAGUCUGUUUAUUCACCUCACAAUUUUAAGUACUUUAUAUUUAACAAAAUACAAAAACUGGGUGCUUUCAUAAAUGUUUUCUCAUCUAAUUCUUGGAACAGCUUAGUGGAGUAUUUAAUAUUAUCCCCCAUUUUACAGAUGCAGACCUCUGUUGAAUGACUGCCAGACGUAAGGGUUCUGCUUUGAGAAACUGAUAGAAUCCAAUUUAUGUUCUGUAGAUUAUGCUGUUUCCAUCUCACUUCAAUAAAUACUUAUCAAGCACUUACUUGUGUUCAGCACUGUUCUAUACACUCAAGA